UACAGAGGGUGCGAGCGUUGUUCGGAAUUACUGGGCGUAAAGGGCUCGUAGGCGGCCAACUAAGUCAGACGUGAAAUCCCUCGGCUUAACCGGGGAACUGCGUCUGAUACUGGAUGGCUUGAAUCCGGGAGAGGGAUGCGGAAUUCCAGGUGUAGCGGUGAAAUUCGUAGAUAUCGGGAGGAACACCAGUGGCGAAGGCGGCGACCUGGACGGACAUUGACGCUGAGACGCGAAAGCGUGGGGAGCAAACAGG
RNAcentral lists this ribosomal RNA (253 nucleotides) under uncultured bacterium. RNAcentral describes it as "partial 16S ribosomal RNA". It matches the Rfam family "Bacterial small subunit ribosomal RNA", at positions 524 to 776 of the family's 1533-position model. The record is from RNAcentral.